Molecule: unclassified non-coding RNA, 240 nt
Filed under: Hevea brasiliensis (rubber tree)
Lineage: Eukaryota; Viridiplantae; Streptophyta; Magnoliopsida; Malpighiales; Euphorbiaceae
Source: RNAcentral
AAAAGUGGCAAUGCCAAUCCACGGGUGUCUUCAGUUUACAUUCUUAUUAUCUGUCCGACAAGAGAACUGGCAAGUCAAAUAGCUGCAGAAGCAAAUGCUAUGCUGAAAUACCAUGAUGGCAUAGGCGUGCAAACACUAGUUGGAGGUACGCGUUUCAAAGAUGAUCAGAAGCGCUUAGAAUCAGAUCCAUGCCAGAUAAUUGUUGCAACUCCUGGUCGGCUGCUGGAUCACAUUGAGAAC